This 253-nucleotide ribosomal RNA is filed under the name uncultured bacterium. Its description in RNAcentral is "partial 16S ribosomal RNA". It matches the Rfam family "Bacterial small subunit ribosomal RNA", at positions 524 to 776 of the family's 1533-position model. The record is from RNAcentral.
UACGUAGGGGGCUAGCGUUGUCCGGAAUCAUUGGGCGUAAAGAGCGUGUAGGCGGUCCGGUAAGUCCGCUGUGAAAGUCGGGGGCUCAACCCUCGAAUGCCGGUGGAUACUGUCGGGCUUGAGUACGGGAGAGGCGAGUGGAAUUCCUGGUGUAGCGGUGAAAUGCGCAGAUAUCAGGAGGAGCACCGGUGGCGAAGGCGGGAUCCUGGGCCAGUACUGACGCUGAGGAGCGAAAGCGUGGGGAGCAAACAGG